GACGAACGCUGGCGGCGUGCCUAAUACAUGCAAGUAGAACGCUGAAGGAGGAGCUUGCUUCUCCGGAUGAGUUGCGAACGGGUGAGUAACGCGUAGGUAACCUGCCUGGUAGCGGGGGAUAACUAUUGGAAACGAUAGCUAAUACCGCAUAACAGUAGAUAUUGCAUGAUAUCUGCUUGAAAGGUGCAAUUGCAUCACUACCAGAUGGACCUGCGUUGUAUUAGCUAGUUGGUGAGGUAACGGCUCACCAAGGCGACGAUACAUAGCCGACCUGAGAGGGUGAUCGGCCACACUGGGACUGAGACACGGCCCAGACUCCUACGGGAGGCAGCAGUAGGGAAUCUUCGGCAAUGGACGGAAGUCUGACCGAGCAACGCCGCGUGAGUGAAGAAGGUUUUCGGAUCGUAAAGCUCUGUUGUAAGAGAAGAACGAGUGUGAGAGUGGAAAGUUCACACUGUGACGGUAUCUUACCAGAAAGGGACGGCUAACUACGUGCCAGCAGCCGCGGUAAUACGUAGGUCCCGAGCGUUGUCCGGAUUUAUUGGGCGUAAAGCGAGCGCAGGCGGUUAGAUAAGUCUGAAGUUAAAGGCUGUGGCUUAACCAUAGUACGCUUUGGAAACUGUUUAACUUGAGUGCAAGAGGGGAGAGUGGAAUUCCAUGUGUAGCGGUGAAGUGCGUAGAUAUAUGGAGGAACACCGGUGGCGAAAGCGGCUCUCUGGCUUGUAACUGACGCUGAGGCUCGAAAGCGUGGGGAGCAAACAGG
RNAcentral lists this ribosomal RNA (763 nucleotides) under uncultured Streptococcus sp. Its description in RNAcentral is "bacterial SSU rRNA". It matches the Rfam family "Bacterial small subunit ribosomal RNA", at positions 28 to 776 of the family's 1533-position model. The record is from RNAcentral. Lineage: Bacteria; Bacillati; Bacillota; Bacilli; Lactobacillales; Streptococcaceae.